GUGCUCACUUCAGUAGCACAUACACUAAAAUUAUAAUAAUACCCAGAUUAGUAUGGCCCUUGUGAAAGGAUGAAACACAAAUUUGUAAAGCAUUCCAUAUUACC
Small nuclear RNA from Nomascus leucogenys (northern white-cheeked gibbon), 104 nucleotides. The record is from Ensembl. NCBI's taxonomy places the organism in Eukaryota, Metazoa, Chordata, Mammalia, Primates, Hylobatidae.